Molecule: long non-coding RNA, 3654 nt
Organism: Sapajus apella (tufted capuchin)
Lineage: Eukaryota; Metazoa; Chordata; Mammalia; Primates; Cebidae
Exons: 5
Source: RefSeq, a predicted model, not a curated record
CACCAGGCCCUACCACGGGGAUCUGCGGGAGAGGGACAGAGGACACUGGGCGGGAUACAUGGGGAAGGGUUAGCACAGCAGGGCCCUGGGCGGGCACGGGGCCUGCCCUGUGGCUGCAAGUAUAUUAAUAGUUCCUGGGCCCCAAGCAGGCAGUGCCCACAUGCCUCCAAGCCCGUAUGGCCCGCAGGAAGGCAGCCCAGUGUCCACAGGGAGAGGAGGCCUCCGAGUUCCUGCUAAACCACUCAACAGCUUAAAAUACAACUAGCCCCUCUCCCUGUCCAGCCAGCUGCUAGUGGGAGGGGUGAAAUCCUACCCUGCUCCCCCAACCCGGGCACCGAACCAGAGCCCAGGAGGGAGAGAACAGCCGUCGAGUCCCGGCUAGCUGCUGGGACAGGACGAGGGCAGCGGCAGGAGGGGGCGGCCUAGAGAGGGGCCACACUCACAGCUGCGGUGGCAGCACCCAGGCCAGCCUGAGGCCCUAGGAGAGGAGAUGCCGGAACCUGCAAGGAGGAUGUGACCUGCCUGAUGGUUAUGGGUAACAAUAGCGACCAACAGUUAUUUCACGUUCCCUGCCCGGGGCUGGAACUGCCGCAGCUUCCCAGAUGUCUCUCCCACAGUGGCCGGAGGGAGCAGAAGCCAUUAGCUCUGUUUCACAGAUGAAGAGGCCGAGAUCUAAGCAGUAAAUCCCAGAGCCUGGAAGACCACAGGUGCAUGUUCAAAGCCAGGCCAUACCCCACCACACACGGGCCCCAGGGCCCCUCGCAGAGCUGAUGCAGUGCAACGCAGCCCACAUCUUGAGCUCAAAGUUCCAGCAGGCUCCAUCAGACCCCACAGGGGACUGGGCUCCCUAGGAGGAGGCAUCUUCUCCCAAGUCUGGGGCACAGGAGGACUAGCUGGAGGUGUGAACCCUGGUCGGCGCAACCAGGGCCCCAGGUAAAGACACAAAGGGCCCGACGGGUCCUGCCGCUGGCCAGCUGGGCACAAGCACUGCUGCCCGCACUGCGUGAGCUCUCUGUCCAGGCAACGCCCAGCACAGAAGAUAGAGGCCUGGCCUGAUCAUGCCCAGCGCCACACCGGCCACCUCAUCCCCAUCGCAAAUGCAGAGACUCUGGCACGUUCGUCUGGACUCCGGCUCGGCGGCUGGGUACUCUCAGCUCCCUCUCCUUCCAGAAAUAUCAAGUCAACCUGCUAAUGCCCGGAUGGCUGAGAAGACCUAGGGCUCAGCUGCCAGGAGCCCUGCACAGGCCACACACCUGCUCGGCCAGAAAUACCACCUUCCCCAGUGGCCUCGGCACAUGACGUCAUUUCUCAGUAGCACCCAGGGGCAGCUGUGCCAGCCUCCCCGGGGCACCACAGUGGAAGGAGAAUGUCACCCAGGGUGGGGAGGAAGGGCUGAGAGACACUGGCCUCUCACUCCCACCCCUUGACUGCUCUGAUCCGGUCUUCCACCCCUGCUGGCAAGACGAGAGGUGCCAGGGUCAGAGGGCCAGUGUCCCGAGGCUCUUGGAUCCAGGGCCAAGGCCAGGUGCAGGCGCAGCGGUAGCCCAGGCCCGGAGAACCUGGGGUUGCUGAUCCCACCCAGCAGAGCCCCGAGCGAGCAGGUAGCAACCCAGCCCUGAGGGAUGGCCAUUGGACGCAGGAGCUCCUAGCUUGGGCAACACAGUCACAGGAGUUGAGGAUGAACGUGACACAGGACAAAUACAGCGGGAAGUUGGAGAACCUGGGUCUCACCCCUGGGCCGGCCCCGCGUGCUUCGUGGCACCCACAGCCUAAGCCCCUCCCUGGGACUGUGCCCUCAGGGCCUCCCAGGACCACUGGCCCACCCAGAGCGGCGCUGCUCUAGCCUGUUUCAUCCAGAUGUGCCAGCAAGAGUGACAUCUAUCAGAUGCUCACCCUGUACCUAAGACUGUGCUGAGACCGCCACCCAGGCCUUGCCCAGGACCUGUAAGCAAGGGACUGUGACGCCUGUUAGGUGGCUUGGAAAACCAGGGCUUAGGAACAAGGAAAUCCUUGUCCGAGGGCAGGAAGGCGCUGUUGGACCAGGAAGCUGAAAGCGCGCCAGAGGCUAAGCCCUUCGGACACAAGCUGACUGGAGGAGCAAGAGGAGCUUAUCCUGGCCAACACCCCACUGCUCGAGUCUGGCAGACAGGGCGAUACACACAUUAGAAGACUUCGUUUUAAGGGAAAAAGAGAUCCAAGUUAGGAGUCAGAAGACUUGGGCUUUAAGAGUGGCUGUGGGUCGUAUAAGAUUUCUCCUUGGUGACACCCGGGGGUUGACGGAGAUGACCUCUUAGAUAACCAGAAAGCGAGAUCAGCUUCGCUGCUCUGCGAAAGCCAGCCGUGGAGCUGCACCUCCCUCACCGCCUAAGCCUCUCGGGAACCUCCCGGGCGAGGGAAGGGGUCCAAAGGUCGGACACAAGAAGAGUGAUUGCAAAGCCCCUUCCUACGCUGGUGGCGGCGGCGUGGUGCAAGAUUUGUGCAAGACUCCUCUCCCUCGGAUUGGGAGCAAGGGUCCCGCACCUUCAUAGCUCCCACGACACAGUCUGCAACUCAGCCCGCUGAGGGAGCUGCAAGGAACCUGCAAACGUCCCAGUCCCUGCAGAGACCCCCAAGAAAAAGCGCCCCCAAAACAGCCUGGGUUGCAGAUUUAUAAAUACCUCCUCCGCACAUGCGCAUUGGAAUUUACGAGUGGCCCAGGGAGCAACUCUGGCCCACUGCGCCUGCGCCUUCCGGCUCUUCCUUCAGGGCACAGGACCAGAGAGUGGGGUCCCAUGGUCCCGCAAAGAAGGAAAAACAAUGGGUCGGCAGCGGCCACGCGGUACCCGUUUCUCGCUUCUUACCUCGUAGUGCUUCAUGGCUCACUCCCACGGCGACUACAGUUCCGCGGGCUGCUGCCUAACUGCGCGCAACACAGCACACAGUCCCUGAAACGCUCGAUACUGCUGCGAGAGACUAAACGCAGCUCUGCGUCCGCCCCGCCCCUCCCGGCCGCGCGCGCCCCGCCGGCCAAUCAGGGCACGAGGCGACCACCUUCGCCCCUGCCCCUUGGGGCCGGUCCGAACCAGGACCAGGGCUAGCACCAGGGGAUUGACCAAUCAGCUUGCGAGACCCACCGAAGGGGGCGGAGCGAGUGCGGGAGGGGCUAAAGAGAAGAGGUUUGGCCAUCCACCAAUCCAAAGGAGGCUUCUGAGCCGCGCGUCCCUUUGCCCCGACCCCUGAUGGCGUCGCUGUGGAAACCAAGAUCCUGCUCCUGAGCCUUCAUCAGCUGUUGAACCAUCCAGAAUUCACGGGCCUGUCAUCAGAGACAUGAUGAGAAGUCCUUAAAGAUAGAUUGCUGAUUCAUAGGGGAGCAGGUGGAAGCAAGGGUGAGUCAGUGCUUGGAGCUCGGUCAUCCAGAUUCGGCUCUGGAAACUUCUAAAACUGUAGCCUUUGGGGAUCCCUGACUCCGAGUACAGGAAGCCAAGGCUAUGUGGUCUUCAGGACACUCCUUAUCUUUUUCACUGGUGCUAUCUGGGGAAAACAGGUGAAAACAUGAAGGUGUUUUGUAUGUAUGCCUUCAAAAGCAAGGAUCUGGCCAAACUCGGGGGCUCACACCUAUAAUCCCAGCACUUUGGGAGGCCAAGGCAAGCAGAUCACCUGAGGUCAGGAGUUCAA